RNAcentral lists this ribosomal RNA (446 nucleotides) under uncultured bacterium. RNAcentral's name for it is "partial 16S ribosomal RNA". It matches the Rfam family "Bacterial small subunit ribosomal RNA", at positions 338 to 795 of the family's 1533-position model. The record is from RNAcentral.
CCUACGGGAGGCAGCAGUCGAGAAUUAUUCACAAUGGGGGAAACCCUGAUGGUGCGACGCCGCGUGGGGGAAUGAAGGUCUUCGGAUUGUAAACCCCUGUCAUGUGGGAGCAAAUUAAAAAGAUAGUACCACAAGAGGAAGAGACGGCUAACUCUGUGCCAGCAGCCGCGGUAAUACAGAGGUCUCAAGCGUUGUUCGGAAUCACUGGGCGUAAAGCGUGCGUAGGCUGUUUCGUAAGUCGUGUGUAAAAGGCGCGGGCUCAACCCGCGGACGGCACAUGAUACUGCGAGACUAGAGUAAGGGAGGGGGAACCGGAAUUCUCGGUGUAGCAGUGAAAUGCGUAGAUAUCGAGAGGAACACUCGUGGCGAAGGCGGGUUCCUGGACAUUAACUGACGCUGAGGCACGAAGGCCAGGGGAGCGAAAGGGAUUAGAUACCCCUGUAGUC